CAGUAGCCGCGGUAAUACCGAGGGUGCGAGCGUUAAUCGGAUUCACUGGGCGUAAAGCGUGCGUAGGCGGCUUUUUAAGUCGGAUGUGAAAUCCCUGAGCUUAACUUAGGAAUUGCAUUCGAUACUGGGAAGCUAGAGUAUGGGAGAGGAUGGUAGAAUUCCAGGUGUAGCGGUGAAAUGCGUAGAGAUCUGGAGGAAUACCGAUGGCGAAGGCAGCCAUCUGGCCUAAUACUGACGCUGAGGUACGAAAGCAUGGGGAGCAAACAGGAUUAGAUACCCGUGUAGUCCCUGUCUCUUAUAC
This 301-nucleotide ribosomal RNA is filed under the name uncultured bacterium. RNAcentral's name for it is "partial 16S ribosomal RNA". It matches the Rfam family "Bacterial small subunit ribosomal RNA", at positions 509 to 807 of the family's 1533-position model. The record is from RNAcentral.